UUUUUUUUUUAGAAAUUAAAAACCAACUAAUAAAUAAAUAAAACAAUUCAUUACUUUGCAGUCGUUGUUUAUGUUCAAUUUCUUA
Molecule: non-coding RNA, 85 nt
Filed under: Mesodinium pulex
Lineage: Eukaryota; Ciliophora; Litostomatea; Cyclotrichida; Mesodiniidae
Source: RNAcentral